This is a long non-coding RNA of Sapajus apella (tufted capuchin), 725 nucleotides long. RefSeq lists it as uncharacterized. The record is from RefSeq and is a predicted model, not a curated record. The transcript is spliced from 2 exons. Lineage: Eukaryota; Metazoa; Chordata; Mammalia; Primates; Cebidae.
CUCAGAUGUUAACAUCCAGAUAAUGAUGUGUAUUACGAUAUCGUGCAUGUUGAAAUACUGAUUGGAAUAAACCAGAAGAAAGAUUGAAGAUGUUUUAAGAAGAUGCGCUAUUAGGGACAUGAUUUCUCUGAGGAAACAGGGAUUUCAGAGAUGGUCCAUAAAAAUUAUAGGACAUUUUUCUUUACUGUGGGGUCUAGAUUCAGGCAAGUUUCUAACAUUUACUACUGCAAUCAAAAGUUUAUUUUAGAUUGGGAGUAAAUUUUGGAAACUGAAAAUAUCUUGUUUGGGAAAUGUUCAUUUCAAAAGUAAGCUUUUUGUUAGGUCUCUCUCUUUUUUUAAAAUAAAUUUAGUAUUAAUUUACUUUCAGUUAUCUUAAAUGUAUCUAAUUGAUACAUGCAUUUGGUCUAUCAGAUUUUCUUAUAAUUUUGUGAGAGAAAAAUAUAAAGUGAUAGGGUGUCUGAAAAAUUUUUGUCAUAAACGUGUUAUAUCUUCAGAGGACUUGAAGCCUUUAAAAAGCUUUCUCUUAGAGAUUUAUCUUUUCACACUUUAGAUGCAUUUGCCUUUUCUAAAGCUAGGUAUCAAGACAAAGAGGUUCUGCUGAACAUGCAAUAUCCAGUCUGUCAUGGGAAGCUUUGCUGCCAUUUCUGUGAAAUCUCCUUUUUGGAUAUGAUCCAUCCUAGAAUAGAAAAAAAACAAAACAAAAAAAAAACAAAAAACUUACAACC